Molecule: long non-coding RNA, 808 nt
Filed under: Nicotiana tabacum (common tobacco)
Lineage: Eukaryota; Viridiplantae; Streptophyta; Magnoliopsida; Solanales; Solanaceae
Description: long non-coding RNA (NTAB_LNC004885)
Source: RNAcentral
GUCUCGAGCUUUGGCUUAUCUCGUCGGAGGUUAGGAUGCAUCAUGAGCUCUGUUUCAACCGUAUACACAUAUUAGAACCCUAAGAGUUUCGGAGCCCAAAAAGUUGAAAAGCAAAUGGAAUAUGAUUACGAAGUUAUUCAAGGAAGCAUGGAGUCACUCCGAGAAUUUAUACACAAAGAAUGUUAUUAUCUCCUGUUCCGGAUAAAUAGGCUGUAAUAACCUUCGGAAAGAAGUUGAAUAAGAGCAGUUCCGAAUCUAUGAGAAGGUUGAAGGAAUAUCUCCGAAAAAUUCCCACCUACAACACGGAAUGAUGUGUAUACUCUUACAACACCAAUCCUCGAACAGAAGAAGAUGCAAUGAGUCGAACCGACACUAAUAAUGUGUCCAGAAGGAGGCACAUCGAACAUUUGAAAUGUACUACAAGAUGAGCAGAAACUGAUCGUAGAAGUUCCAAGAGUCAUUAUAAGCCUUACUCCGGCUCUUAACGUGAUUUUGAAAGGUGAUAGAAGCCAAAUAGGAUAAUUGAAGGUCCAUUCAAAAGAACAACAUCGGACCUUUCCGGACAAACAGAAAUAUUUUCGGGCACAAACAGUGAACCGAAGGAAUUGGACGCCACGAGGUUAAAUGCUGAAGAACAAAUAAUCAUAUUCUUACCGGAUAGGAAGGCUUACGUGGAUUCGAAACUCAACCCCAAACUCAGAGGCGGAUCCAGGAUUCGGAGGUUUCGGGUGCCACACUACUUUGAAAGUAGUCGUGUACGUGGUCUAAAUCGGGUAAAUAUUUGGUAGAUUUAACCAUAUCGGGCUUC